Molecule: ribosomal RNA, 430 nt
Filed under: uncultured bacterium
Lineage: Bacteria
Description: partial 16S ribosomal RNA
Rfam family: Bacterial small subunit ribosomal RNA
Source: RNAcentral
ACGAACGCUGGCGGCAGGCUUAACACCUGCCAGUCGCACGCCCCGCAAGGGGAGUGGCAGACGGGUGAGUAACGCGUGGGAACAUACCCUUUUCUACGGAAUAGCUCUGGGAAACUGGAAUUAAUACCGUAUACGCCCUACGGGGGAAAGAUUUAUCGGGGAAGGAUUGGCCCGCGUUGGAUUAGCUAGUUGGUGGGGUAAAGGCCUACCAAGGCGACGAUCCAUAGCUGGUCUGAGAGGAUGAUCAGCCACAUUGGGACUGAGACACGGCCCAAACUCCUACGGGAGGCAGCAGUGGGGAAUAUUGGACAAUGGGCGCAAGCCUGAUCCAGCCGUGCCGCGUGAGUGAUGAAGGCCUUAGGGUUGUAAAGCUCUUUAACCGAUGAAGAUAAUGACGGUAGUCGGAGAAGAAGCCCCGGCUAACUUCGUG